GGAAGGAUCAUUGUCGAUACCUGCGUAGCAGAACGACCCGAGAACCAGUCAAAACGUCGAGGGCCGGGGGGCCUUGCGGCUCCUCGUCCCCUUAUCUCGGGAGGCGACCACCGCCAACGCGGCCGACCCUCCCGGGCGUACAAACGAACACCGGCGCGAAUUGCGCCAAGGAAUUUGAACGAAAGUGCGCGCUCCCGUCGCCCCGGAAACGGUGCGCGUUCGGGCAGCGUCGUCAUCUUCAAUAUGUCUAAACGACUCUCGGCAACGGAUAUCUCGGCUCUCGCAUCGAUGAAGAACGUAGCGAAAUGCGAUACUUGGUGUGAAUUGCAGAAUCCCGUGAACCAUCGAGUCUUUGAACGCAAGUUGCGCCCGAAGCCGUUAGGCCGAGGGCACGCCUGCCUGGGCGUCACACGUCGUUGCCCCCCGCAACUCCCACGGGAACGCGAGGGGACGGAUGAUGGCCUCCCGCGCGCUUUGCCGCUCGGCUGGCACAAAUACCAAGUCCACGGCGACGGCCGCCACGACAAUCGGUGGUUGCGAAACCUCGGUGCCCUGUCGUGCGCGGGCGUCGCGUUUCGCGGGCUCGCGAAAAACAACUCUUCGCUCCGGCGAAGCUUUCAACGCGACCCCAGGUCAGGCGGGGUUACCCGCUGAAUUU
RNAcentral lists this ribosomal RNA (658 nucleotides) under Lyonothamnus floribundus. Its description in RNAcentral is "eukaryotic LSU rRNA". The stretch from base 254 to 409 matches the Rfam family "5.8S ribosomal RNA". Lineage: Eukaryota; Viridiplantae; Streptophyta; Magnoliopsida; Rosales; Rosaceae. The record is from RNAcentral.